This 468-nucleotide long non-coding RNA is filed under the name Lonchura striata (white-rumped munia). Its description in RNAcentral is "domestica (Bengalese finch) lncRNA (ENSLSDG00000005115.1)". The record is from RNAcentral. Lineage: Eukaryota; Metazoa; Chordata; Aves; Passeriformes; Estrildidae.
CGGCAUCCCCGGCAGCUCCAGCAUCCCCGGCAGCUCCAGCAUCCCCGGCAUCCCCGGCAGCUCCAGCAUCCCCAGCAUCCCCAGCAUCCCCGGCAUCCCCGGCAUCCCCGGCAGCCCCGGCAGCUCCAGCAUCCCCGGCAGCCCCAGCAUCCCCGGCAUCCCCGGCAGCUCCAGCAUCCCCGGCAGCUCCAGCAUCCCCGGCAGCUCCAGCAUCCCCGGCAGCUCCAGCAUCCCCAGCAUCCCUGCCGGGACGCGCCGCGGAGCACACAGACACUGCCAUGACUGUGAGACGCUACCCCACCGUCUCCCCAGCUCCUGCUCCUUCCAGCACAAGGUCCCACUGGGCUGGCAGGAAGCCUCCAAGCUCUGGGCUCCUGGAGGUGCCAGGCAGAACCCAGCCACCAGCCCCUCCUGCUGCAGCACAGCUCAGCAGGGAAGAGGAGAAAGGGCUUGAAAAAUCACCAGCCA